AGACGAUGCAACUCCGACUCUGUUUGGGCCUGGAAAUUCACAAUCAGAACCUAGUCUUCAGUACCAGAUCAGGGGCAGAAAUUUUCCCAGACUUCAGUGGAUCACAGUUGCUGUAAUAAGCGAACAUGACAAUGCCACAGGUUGCUGCACUGCCCACAAUGAAGCACAGACCCACUUGGUUCACAAACAGCGCCCUGCAAUCAAAAGCAAACAUCAUUAUAGUGACCCAGGUUUGCUGCUGGCUCUCUGCAUUUCCACUAUUAAUAUCAAUUACCAGGAGAUGUAGCGCUGGACUUGAGCUUGGUUCACCCCGUACAUGGACAGCCAAACAAGUGCACCCCCGACAGAUAGGCUCCAGAAUGAAUAGCGCCGCCGAGGGUCAAAGUCAAAACUUGGGGGGGAAAUUGAAAAAAACAAUUUCAAACAAAUCGGGAGAAUCCAUUCUUUAGAGCCUCUUGCCAUUAUAACACCUGGAGUUUACAUUAGAGGGUGACACGGUAGUGGAUUUUUACUCCAGUAGCAUCCCACUGCUGCAAAAAUAUUCCCCAUCCCCAUUGAGUAAAAAAGAAACGAUGUCCUGUCUCUAUCCCGGAAGAAUGAGUCCUGUCCCAUCUCAUUCCUGAUUUAAAAAAGGAAAUAGUAUUUAUUCAUAUAAGAGCCGCAUAUUAAAUAUAAAAACUGAGCUAUGAUUCCAACGAGUCCAAUCCCACAGGGAUCCCGAAUCAAUUUCAGCCUCUAGUUAACAUAAAGAUAUUGUUGAUAGUUUCUAUUUUGCAUGGGACAUUCAUACAUACAUUUAAAUGUGGCAAUAUCCUUGCUAAAAAUUACAAAAAACUCUAUGUAUUGUUCGACAAAAAAAUCGUAAUGCCAGGUCCACAAACUAGCUUUUUCCAGAGCAUUGGACAUAAUUUCAUAGAUGCAAAGACCAUCCUAGAAAACAGACAGGGGUUACAAUUUCUCCCUAUACAUAUAACCCUCUGAUAUCACAUGACUGAAGUUCCAUACUUAGGUCCUGUGAUGACAACUGAGCAAAAGUUAACCAAACCAAAACCAAGGAUGUGUUUGAAAGCAUAAAAAGCCGGUUAGUGAACCUUGAGUUAAGAUUUCUUUUGUCAAACUUCUGUUUCUAAGAAUGAACGUUUGUGCUCAUCUGUGUGUAGUUAUUUUUGCCCGGAUGUAAAAAAAAAAAGAGUACAUGAACAAUACCAGUAGUAACCAGUAGUAUUUUCCAUUAACUAACAGCCUGAAAUAAUCUGAA
Micropterus dolomieu (smallmouth bass) is the source of this 1258-nucleotide long non-coding RNA. RefSeq lists it as uncharacterized. Lineage: Eukaryota; Metazoa; Chordata; Actinopteri; Centrarchiformes; Centrarchidae. The transcript is spliced from 3 exons. The record is from RefSeq and is a predicted model, not a curated record.